Engraulis encrasicolus (European anchovy) is the source of this 402-nucleotide long non-coding RNA. RefSeq lists it as uncharacterized. The transcript is spliced from 3 exons. The record is from RefSeq and is a predicted model, not a curated record. NCBI's taxonomy places the organism in Eukaryota, Metazoa, Chordata, Actinopteri, Clupeiformes, Engraulidae.
GCAUGCAGUCUGUCAAGUGUUCGGAUUAUCCCGGGAACCCACGAGAGCUCACGAGGCGGGGGGGCGGGCUAGAAGCCACGACAAAGCGACUAGCCAAGCUAACUUCCAGCCAUGGCACUGUCUCCGGCUACGACCUUCCACGACCACGAGAGCUCCAGCUCUGACUUUCCUGGCCCAUCACAAUCAUAACGACCUAACAGCCCAGUAGGACCGAUGGCCAGAGAUGGAGGAGGAGGAAGAUAGACGCAGCAGAGGUCGGUUUGAUUAGGGAGACUCCAACAGAAUUGACGCCCAGCUAACUGCCUUGAUUCAAUCAUUGAAUUUGAAGCAAUCCCAUCGGUUACUGCAGCGUGCCCUGACCCGUGACCCCAGUUUGAUGUUCGACCUGGCACAUGACAUCUG